Molecule: ribosomal RNA, 468 nt
Filed under: uncultured bacterium
Lineage: Bacteria
Description: partial 16S ribosomal RNA
Rfam family: Bacterial small subunit ribosomal RNA
Source: RNAcentral
GACGAACGCUGGCGGCGUGCUUAACACAUGCCAGUCGAACGGAAAGGCCCUGCUUUUGUGGGGUGCUCGAGUGGCGAACGGGUGAGUAACACGUGAGUAACCUGCCCUUGACUUUGGGAUAACUUCAGGAAACUGGGGCUAAUACCGGAUAGGAGCUCCUGCUGCAUGGUGGGGGUUGGAAAGUUUCGGCGGCUGGGGAUGGACUCGCGGCUUAUCAGCUUGUUGGUGGGGUAGUGGCUUACCAAGGCUUUGACGGGUAGCCGGCCUGAGAGGGUGACCGGCCACAUUGGGACUGAGAUACGGCCCAGCCUCCUACGGGAGGCAGCAGUGGGGAAUAUUGCACAAUGGGCGGAAGCCUGAUGCAGCAACGCCGCGUGCGGGAUGACGGCCUUCGGGUUGUAAACCGCUUUCGCCUGUGACGAAGCGUGAGUGACGGUAAUGGGUAAAGAAGCACCGGCUAACUACGUG